Molecule: unclassified non-coding RNA, 200 nt
Filed under: Auriculariales sp.
Lineage: Eukaryota; Fungi; Basidiomycota; Agaricomycetes; Auriculariales
Description: partial internal transcribed spacer 2
Source: RNAcentral
UUAAGUUCAGCGGGUAGUCCUACCUGAUUUCAGGCCAAAGUUUGAUUAUUUGUCCGUAAAGACGAUUGGAAGCAGCACAUUCAGAAGAGGCCUAAGGCGAGGGCGCAGAUAAUUAUCACACCGUGCCAAGCGCUAACAAGCGCAAGCUAAUGCAUUUCAGGACGAGCCAUUGACGGCACAGUCCAAAUCCACAGCUUGUG